AUGUAGCACAGUGGUAAAGUAUCUCUGGAUUUAAUUCCCAGUAUUGCCAAACACACACACACACACAAUGGAUACUGCUUUAUACCUUCAAGAAUAGCUAAAAUUAAGAGAAUGACAAUAUCAAAUUUUACGAGGAAUGUAGAAGGUUUGCAACUCUCAGACACUGCUAGUGGGAGUGUAAAGUGAGAUAACCACUUUGCAGAUGUCACUCUGCCCUUGUCUGAAUGUUCAUGUCCUCCAAACUUAAUGUGUUGAAACCCUAACUCCCAAGGUAAUAGUAUCAGGAUGUGAGGCCAGUGGAGGUGAUCCCAUCCUAGGGCAGAGCCCCCCAUAAAUAGGAUUACAGCCCUUAGAAGAGGAGCCUAAGACCCCUAGCCUUUCCCAGCCCUUACGCAUCCUGCGUCUACAGGUGUCUUGAUAUUGGACUUCGAGCCAAAGGAACUGAGAAGUUUCCCAUUGUCUAUAAGCCACACACCUUAGAGCACUUUGUUACAGUCCCUAGCCCCCCACCCAAGGAACCAAGACCACCUCCCUGUGGCUCAACAGUGCAGCCCUAGGAACUUACUCAGGAGUGAAAAUGGAAAUUAACAGAGGGUCAUUUGAAAAUGUCCAUAGUGAAGUUAUUCUAAUAGCCUCAAAACUGGGAACACCCCAAAUGUCAUCCAUGGGUAGACAGAUUCGAAGUUGUCUUGUUAGUGUAGGACCGCAAGGUAGUGCAGGCAUAGGCAGAGCUUAUGGUGGUGAGCCUCAGGACAGCAGUUGGCCCCAGUGGGGUGCUGACUGGAGCCUUGGGCCACUUGUUA
Molecule: long non-coding RNA, 803 nt
Filed under: Marmota monax (woodchuck)
Lineage: Eukaryota; Metazoa; Chordata; Mammalia; Rodentia; Sciuridae
Source: RNAcentral